CACCAUAUUUGACCACAACGUUGUACAAGGCUGCCAAAAGUUGCCAUUCUGUCUGGCAGCGAGAGACGAGUUACGAAGUAACAAAUUAUUUAAUCGAUUCAAUGACACAGAAGGUUUUAGCUCAGCGAUUCUCAACUGGUGUGUCGAGAAGUUUUGAGUGGAUUGGCGGUGUCCGAAUUUUUUAAAUAAUAAUAAUAAUAAAUAUAUAUAUAUAUAUUAUUGUCAUUCAACAAGAGACGAAUAAUUUUACUGCACAUUUGUUUUCUUGAGAAAUACUGCACCAGAAAUACUGCAAUUAAUGACCGAUUUCUUGAGUUAUUUUAGAUUCAUUCUGGCUAUUUUGAGGAAGUGUAAACUGCCUAUGGCGUCUCAAAAUGGACAAACAGCACUAUUGCCGCUUUUUAAAAUGUAUUUAACCUGGCAAGUUAGUUAAUUACAAUGACGGCCUAUCCUGUCUAUGCUGAGCCAAUUGUGUACCUCCCUAUGGGACUCCCGAUCACAGCCAGAUGUGAUACAGCCUGGAUUCAAACCAGGGACAGUAGUGACACCUCUUGCACUGAGAUACAGUGCCUUAGACUGCCACUUGGGAGUUUUUCAAGGGAAUAUCUUUUGAGGGAGUAUGCGAGCACACUCGUCUUUAUAAAUAAAUCCAUCAGAUGUGGACACCUGCAAGAACAUGUUUGAUAUAGUGCUACAGAAGGCCGAAAAUGACAUUGAUGAGCAGUGGCUGAAUGUAUCUCACAGGAGAAAGCAUCCAGGGGAGCGAAACAGCGCCCCUCUGUCUCUCUACUUGAAGAUGGAGCAGGCACCAUGUGCCUCGGGACAAGACCUGUGACUUGCUUUGCUUUCCGGAUCAGGCCACCAUUGAAAGGAGUGAUAACUCGAAUGAUGUUAAGUGUUGAGGAGGACCAACUGAAAUGGAAGAUUCCCAGUGUCUGUGAUGCCCGCCGUUUGGAGCGACGCAGACCUGGUGUAGAGCGUGGUGAAACAGAGAAGGCGCUGUCUGUCCUGCUGAGUUCUGAUGCCGUCUUUACCCGACAAAGUCAAGUUAGCAUGUGUCAGUUAUCCCGUGAGAGCUUUUGUCCCAAACCCAUUACAGUUUGCCAAGCUUAUGCUUAUGUUGCAGCAGGGCGUUAGGAGGGAGAUUCAUAGAAGUGAUAAGUAUACGGGAGGGCAUGAGACAAAGGAAUGUGUAGUAUCGGUGGAAAAAGCUGUGAACUCUACGGGUACCCAUGGUGCUGGAGAUCAGAAGUGUCCGGCGAGAGGAAGGCAGGUCGAGGUUGCCAGGAUUAGAGUAGUAUCGACCCACGCCACGUCAGUUAAAUGAUCAAUGUGGAAUAGAUGUUGAAUUAACGUCUGUGCCCAGUGGGGAAGGUGUCGUAUGCUGAGACAGUGAAGAGAGUAGUAGAGGAAGGUGGGUCCAGGGUGAGGGAUCCUAAGAGGCUCCCUGUGAGAAGGCCCGAGGUCAAUAGAGAGUGAUAAGAGUAACAUGUGUUUCAGUGAGGUUGGCGUCUUAGCGUUUAUGGCCAUGGUUUAUCUGUACUGCGGAAAGUGAACAUAAAUCACAGAAAAUAUAUGUUGUGGUGGCAGCGUCAGAGAAGUACUUGGGUGUAAGAUGUGUUACUGCAGAGGAGUUACAAGUUGUGUUGGCUGCCGGCCUGGUGUAGGAUCAGAUAGGGUCAAGUGGUAGAAUAGUGGUGAGGUUUUAAUGGGUGUAGGGUUAGAUGGUAGGGCAACUCUUCUUCCUGACCUUUUUUACUCUUCCCUUUUGUGUCACAGUGUAACGAAUUCACACUCCAGAACAGUAGGCGGAAACACGGGGCUCGAUAAGAGAAAUAAAUGAAAAGGAAUGGCCUCAAACUCCAGCACGGUAGGUGGCGUGUAUGCACCUUUCUGCCUAUACAAAUUUAAAGAAGGAAAAAGUGUCAGCAGGCAACAAGGUGUGGACAUCAUAUCCAUCACAAAACAAGCAACAGGGUGAGUUGUAAAAACGAACGUAACGAAGAGCUUUUGGGAUUUUGCCAGUGUUUGGGAAGCUACUCUUAAAAUGUAGUUUACCACGCUACCAAUGAUUUCACACUGGAAGAAGUUAAGCUACACUAAAGCGACCCUUAAGAAAAUAUAGUUUACUCAACUAAACUUUCUUUAAAAAGGUAGUUGGCUACAUCCAAACUACUUUGUGAUGAGUCAUCAUAUCUAAAUAUUCAAUGUCAUAGACUACAAAAUUGCAACAGAUCACUUUGGAGUUAUAUGAUAACAGAAUGUGUAAUUGAGCCUAUUAACACAAAAAUGUCAGAUCUGAUGCCGACAAAGAAAGCAAAUAAUUGUCUACCUCAUCCGUAUGUUUUUUUAUUUUUGCAAAAUAAGUAGUGUGUAGUGUCCAGUAGUUACACCGCUACAUCAAAAAAGUAAUUUAUUUCUGAAAACACUACCAGGAUUUGAAUUUAGUUAAACUACCACCAAGGCACUGCAAGAUGUAGUUAAAUUACUAGUUUAGCUAUAUGUAACUAUACUCCCCAACACUGAUUUACCAUUAAAGUUUUUGCUCACUCAGGUCAGGGCUGCCAUGUGUAAAAUGCGCAACAUAGGCUGUAACAGGCAACAGACCAAAGCAAUUAGGCUAGUUAGUGUGUAACGAUUUUCUGGGGAAAAAGAGGUGGACCAAAACACAGCGUGGUUACUUGUAAACAUCUUUAAUAAAGAUGAACAAUGAACAAUCUACAAAACAAGAAAUGUGAAAAAACCGAAACAGCUCUAUCUGGUGCAACAAACAGAGACAGGAACAAUCACCCACAAAACCCAACACAAAACAGGAUACCUAAAUAUGGUUCCCAAUCAGAGACAAUGAAUAACACCUGCCUCUGAGAACCGUAUCAGGCCAAACAUAGAAAUAGACAAACCAGACACACAACAUCGAAUGCCCACCCAGCUCACGUCCUGACCAACACUAAAACAAGGAAAACACCCCCCCUAGGUGCGGACUCCGAACGCACAACCUAAACCUAUAUGGGAGGGUCUGGGUGGGCAUCUGUCCGCGGUGGCGGCUCUGGCGCUGGACCCCACUCCAUAAUUGUCUUAGUCCCCCUCCUUAGUGUCCCUUGAGUGGCGACCCACGCCGCUAACCUUGGCCUAGGAACCCUAACAACGGGCCCCACUGGACUGAGGGGCAGCUCCGGACUGAGGGGCAGCUCCGGACUGAGGGGCAGCUCCGGACUGAGGGGCAGCUCAGGCAGGUUGAUGAAUCUAGCAGAUCCUGUCUGGCUGGCGGUUCCGGCAGAUCCUGGCUGACUGGCGGUUCCGGCAGAUCCUGGCAGACUGGCGGUUCCGGCAGAUCCUGGCAGACUGGCGGUUCCGGCAGAUCCUGGCAGACUGGCGGUUCCGGCAGAUCCUGGCAGACUGGCGGUUCCGGCAGAUCCUGGCAGACUGGCGGUUCCGGCAGAUCCUGGCAGACUGGCGGUUCCGGAAGAUCCUGGCAGACUGGCGGUUCCGGCAGAUCCUGGCUGACUGGCGGUUCCGGCAGAUCCUGGCAGACUGGCGGUUCCGGCAGAUCCUGGCAGACUGGCGGUUCCGGAAGAUCCUGGCAGACUGGCGGUUCCGGCAGAUCCUGGCAGACUGGCGGUUCCGGCAGAUCCUGGCAGACUGGCGGUUCCGGCAGAUCCUGGCAGACUGGCGGUUCCGGCAGAUCCUGGCAGACUGGCGGUUCCGGCAGAUCCUGGCAGAUCCUGGCUGACUGGCGGAUCCUGGCAGACUGACGGAUCCUGGCAGACUGACGGCUCUGGCAGAUCCUGGCUGACUGGCAGACUGGCGGCACUGGCGGCUCCUGGCAGACUGGCGGCUCCUGGCAGACUGGCGGCUCCUGGCAGACUGGCGGCUACUGGCGGCACUGGCGGCUCCGGGCGGCUACUGGCGGCUACUGGCGGCUCCGGGCAGACUGGCGGCUACUGGCGGCUCCGGGCAGACUGGCGGCUACUGGCGGCUCCGGGCAGACUGGCGGCUACUGGCGGCUCCGGGCAGACUGGCGGCUACUGGCGGCUCCGGGCAGACUGGCGGCUCCGGGCAGACUGGCGGCUCCGGGCAGACU
Molecule: long non-coding RNA, 4081 nt
Organism: Oncorhynchus masou masou (cherry salmon)
Lineage: Eukaryota; Metazoa; Chordata; Actinopteri; Salmoniformes; Salmonidae
Exons: 3
Source: RefSeq, a predicted model, not a curated record